This 462-nucleotide ribosomal RNA is filed under the name Salmonella enterica subsp. enterica serovar Newport. Its description in RNAcentral is "partial 23S ribosomal RNA". It matches the Rfam family "Bacterial large subunit ribosomal RNA", at positions 875 to 1252 of the family's 2925-position model. Lineage: Bacteria; Pseudomonadati; Pseudomonadota; Gammaproteobacteria; Enterobacterales; Enterobacteriaceae. The record is from RNAcentral.
UAGCGCCUCGUGAAUUCAUCUCCGGGGGUAGAGCACUGUUUCGGCUAGGGGGCCAUCCCGGCUUACCAACCCGAUGCAAACUGCGAAUACCGGAGAAUGUUAUCACGGGAGACACACGGCGGGUGCUAACGUCCGUCGUGAAGAGGGAAACAACCCAGACCGCCAGCUAAGGUCCCAAAGUCAUGGUUAAGUGGGAAACGAUGUGGGAAGGCCCAGACAGCCAGGAUGUUGGCUUAGAAGCAGCCAUCAUUUAAAGAAAGCGUAAUAGCUCACUGGUCGAGUCGGCCUGCGCGGAAGAUGUAACGGGGCUAAACCAUGCACCGAAGCUGCGGCAGCGAACGUAUCACUUAAAGCGAUUCAGCGGGUUACGAUUGACGGAGCGAAGCGACGUCAAAGCGUAUACAAAGUCGAGUCGGUUUAAGGAUACGUUCGUUGGGUAGGGGAGCGUUCUGUAAGCCUGUG